This 773-nucleotide ribosomal RNA is filed under the name uncultured Neocallimastigales. RNAcentral describes it as "partial large subunit ribosomal RNA". It matches the Rfam family "Eukaryotic large subunit ribosomal RNA", at positions 22 to 645 of the family's 3401-position model. The record is from RNAcentral. Lineage: Eukaryota; Fungi; Neocallimastigomycota; Neocallimastigomycetes; Neocallimastigales.
GUACACGCUGUGACUAGCAUAUCAAUAAGCGGAGGAAAAGAAACUAACAAGGAUUCCCCUAGUAACGGCGAGUGAAGCGGGAAGAGCUCAAAUUUGAAAUCUUAAAGGGUUUCCCUUACGAAUUGUAGUUUAAAGAAGUGUUUUCUGUUGAGGUUUUGGUAAAAGUUCUUUGGAAUAGGACAUCAUAGAGGGUGAGAAUCCCGUAUUUGACCUUUACUUUCAACUUUGUGAUACACUUUCAAAGAGUCGGAUUGUUUGGGAAUGCAGUCCAAAAUGGGUGGUAAAUUUCAUCUAAAGCUAAAUAUUGGCGAGAGACCGAUAGCGAACAAGUACCGUGAGGGAAAGAUGAAAAGAACUUUGAAAAGAGAGUUAAACAGUACGUGAAAUUGUCAAAAGGGAAGCGUUUGACACCAGUGUUGUUUUUCUGAAAAUCAAUUAAAGAACUGUUUAUGCUAAGUUGUUUAGACUUUAUCAGCUAACUGUUUAGUUUUGAGCUUUUCUUUAAUGCACUUUUCAGUUAACAAGUCAACAUCAAUUUCUUUUGCUGUAAAAAAGCUUGAGGAAGGUGGCUUGAGAUUCGUCUUAAGUGUUUAUAGCCUCUUGCCUAUGCAGUCGGAGAGAUUGAGGUCUGCAGCGUAGAUCCUUCGGGGCUAAAUGCAUUUGUGCUAAGUUAUAACAUUUCAUAGACAACUUGUUGACUAUGAUUUGUCUUGUAGCUUACUCGCUUAUGUUAUUUUACCUACGCUUAGGAUGUUGAAGUCAUCGUAUCGCGC